UCCCGCCUGGGCGCAGGCCCGCGACGAGGCCAUCAACGCCGCGAUCCCGCUGGCCCGCAGGCUGGCGCGCCGGUUCAGCUUCCGCGGCGAGGA
Molecule: transfer RNA, 93 nt
Filed under: Catellatospora sp. TT07R-123
Lineage: Bacteria; Bacillati; Actinomycetota; Actinomycetes; Micromonosporales; Micromonosporaceae
Description: tRNA-Sec
Source: RNAcentral